GGGUUAAGUCCCGUAACGAGCGCAACCCUUGUCCUAGUUACCAGCACGUUAUGGUGGGCGACUCUAAGGAGACUGCCGGUGACAAACCGGAGGAAGGUGGGGAUGACGUCAAGUCAUCAUGGCCCUUACGGCCUGGGCUACACACGUGCUACAAUGGUCGGUACAAAGGGUUGCCAAGCCGCGAGGUGGAGCUAAUCCCAUAAAACCGAUCGUAGUCCGGAUCGCAGUCUGCAACUCGACUGCGUGAAGUCGGAAUCGCUAGUAAUCGUGAAUCAGAAUGUCACGGUGAAUACGUUCCCGGGCCUU
Molecule: ribosomal RNA, 306 nt
Filed under: uncultured Pseudomonas sp.
Lineage: Bacteria; Pseudomonadati; Pseudomonadota; Gammaproteobacteria; Pseudomonadales; Pseudomonadaceae
Description: bacterial SSU rRNA
Rfam family: Bacterial small subunit ribosomal RNA
Source: RNAcentral